This 433-nucleotide ribosomal RNA is filed under the name uncultured bacterium. RNAcentral describes it as "partial 16S ribosomal RNA". It matches the Rfam family "Bacterial small subunit ribosomal RNA", at positions 29 to 507 of the family's 1533-position model. The record is from RNAcentral.
AACGAACGCUGGCGGCAUGCCUAACACAUGCAAGUCGAACGAAGUCUUCGGACUUAGUGGCGCACGGGUGCGUAACGCGUGGGAAUCUGCCCUUGGGUACGGAAUAACUCAGAGAAAUUUGUGCUAAUACCGUAUAAUGUCUUCUGACCAAAGAUUUAUCGCCCAAGGAUGAGCCCGCGUAAGAUUAGCUGGUUGGUGGGGUAAAAGCCUACCAAGGCGACGAUCUUUAGCUGGUCUGAGAGGAUGGUCAGCCACACUGGGACUAAGACACGGCCCAGACUCCUACAGGAUGCGGCAGUGGGGAAUAUUGGACAAUGGGCGAAAUCCUGAUCCAGCUAGGCCGCGUGAGUGAUGAAGGCCCUAGGGUUGUAAAGCUCUUUUACCAGGGAUGAUAAUGACAGUACCUGGAGAAUAAGCUCCGGCUAACUCCGUG